RNAcentral lists this ribosomal RNA (492 nucleotides) under uncultured bacterium. RNAcentral's name for it is "partial 16S ribosomal RNA". It matches the Rfam family "Bacterial small subunit ribosomal RNA", at positions 29 to 507 of the family's 1533-position model. The record is from RNAcentral.
AGUGAACGCUGGCGGUAGGCCUAACACAUGCAAGUCGAACGGCAGCACAGUAAGAGCUUGCUCUUACGGGUGGCGAGUGGCGGACGGGUGAGGAAUACAUCGGAAUCUACUUUUUCGUGGGGGAUAACGUAGGGAAACUUACGCUAAUACCGCAUACGACCUACGGGUGAAAGCAGGGGAUCUUCGGACCUUGCGCGAUUGAAUGAGCCGAUGUCGGAUUAGCUAGUUGGCGGGGUAAAGGCCCACCAAGGCGACGAUCCGUAGCUGGUCUGAGAGGAUGAUCCGGCACAAUUGAACUGAGAAACGGUCCCGACUCCCUAGGGAAGCCGCAGUUGGGAAAAUUUGACCAUGGGGGGAAGCCUGAUCCAGGCAUACCGGGUGGGUUAAAAAAGGCUUUGGGGUUGAAAACCCCUUUUUUGGGGAAGAAAAGCCGGCGGUUAAAAACCCGCUGUUCUGACGGUACCCAAAGAAUAAGCACCGGCUAACUUCGUG